Molecule: ribosomal RNA, 219 nt
Filed under: uncultured bacterium
Lineage: Bacteria
Description: partial 16S ribosomal RNA
Rfam family: Bacterial small subunit ribosomal RNA
Source: RNAcentral
UACGUAGGGGGCAAGCGUUGUCCGGAUUUAUUGGGCGUAAAGAGCGUGUAGGCGGCCUGAAAGGUCAGCUGUGAAAACUCGAGGCUCAACCUCGAGACGUCGGUUGAAACCAUCUGGCUAGAGUCCGGAAGAGGAGUGUGGAAUUCCCGGUGUAGCGGUGAAAUGCGCAGAUAUCGGGAAGAACACCCGUGGCGAAGGCGGCACUCUGGGACGGUACUG